CACGUAGGGGGCAAGCGUUGUCCGGAAUCAUUGGGCGUAAAGAGCUCGUAGGCGGUCUGUCGCGUCUGGUGUGAAAAUCCAGGGCUUAACCCUGGACCUGCAUUGGGUACGGGCAGACUAGAGUGCGGUAGGGGAGAUCGGAAUUCCUGGUGUAGCGGUGAAAUGCGCAGAUAUCAGGAGGAACACCGGUGGCGAAGGCGGAUCUCUGGGCCGUAACUGACGCUGAGGAGCGAAAGCAUGGGGAGCGAACAGG
This 253-nucleotide ribosomal RNA is filed under the name uncultured bacterium. RNAcentral describes it as "partial 16S ribosomal RNA". It matches the Rfam family "Bacterial small subunit ribosomal RNA", at positions 524 to 776 of the family's 1533-position model. The record is from RNAcentral.